CUCCACCCUAUCUCUCCCGCCCCCCGCCCUCCCACCACCUUCCACCACCCUCCAUCCACCUUCCUCCAAUUUUUCCCAAGAGCCAAUGGGAACACUGUUGCCAGGUGGAAUGCUCAUUUGAAUCAGCCAAUCCCGGUACCCAUCCGCUUGCCCUGCCUUAUAUGGAUAGAGCAUUGUUGAAGGUGAUGGAGCUCCUUCUGAGGCCCAAACAAGCCUAAAUGAUCAAGAGCACGCGUUGCCUGCCCAAGGAGGACCCAGUAAAAAAAGAAUUCAUCACAACAUUGUCACAUUUAUAACAAUAGUUAGUAGAACUUGAGACAAGGCUAUUCAUCGUCAUCAUCAUUACCUAACAAAACUUACAACUAAGCCAACUUGAAUCCAUUUGCUUUGUCUGCCUCCCCAUUUCUAAGAAGCAAGUCUAAAUCCCUCUCCCUAAAAGUUCAAGAUCUUGGAUAAUCCACCCCAUUGUCGUUAACUUUUAUUACUGUGUCCACAGAUCAGGACAGUCUCUCCUCCCUGUUCUUUAGUGUGGAAUACUGUCUUCCCUCUUCCUAUAUAAAUCCUAUUGAGCUGAUUCAAAUAUAUAAGGACAAAAAAAAUUCCUAAAGAGUGAAAUGAAAGACAAUUCCCAAAGGAAAAAAAAAAUAAAGUUAUCAACAACAAUGUGAGGGGGGAAAUGUCCAAACUCACUAAUCAGAGAACAAUGCUUGGAAUUCACUUCAAGACCCAUCAGAUUGGCAAAAAUGAAAGAAAAAGAAAAUGAUAAUGUUUGGAAGUGCUGAUGGAAGAUAGGUAUUGUUAGUAGAGCUAUAAAUUAGUCCACCCUUUCUGGAAAACAGUUUGGAAUUAUACUCCAAAAGUAACUAAACUCUACAUAAUCUUUUGACCCAGUAAUACCACUAAUAUGCCUGUAUCUUAAAGAAAUAAAAGAAAGAUGAAAAGACCCACAAAAGUAUUUAUGGCAGGUUUUGUUGUAGUAGUUAAGAACCGGAAACUGAAGGAGUAUCCAUCAAUUGGAAAAUGGAUGAACAAAUUGUGAUAUAUGAAGGUAGCAGCAUAUUAGUAGUAUAAGAAAUUGUGAAAAGGAUGGUUCCAUGGAAACAUAGGGAACAGAAAAACUUGUAUGAAUCAAGUAGAACUAUUUGUAUAACUCUAAUAACAUUGUAAAGAAAAGCAAUUAAAAAAACAUAAGAAAUUUGAUUAAUUAAAUGACCAGUCAUAUAUUAGAAGAUCUAUGCUGAAGCAUAUUAACAACCUCCUGGCAGAAAAUUGAUAUUUUCAAGGUGCAGAAUAAGACAA
Molecule: long non-coding RNA, 1299 nt
Filed under: Sarcophilus harrisii (Tasmanian devil)
Lineage: Eukaryota; Metazoa; Chordata; Mammalia; Dasyuromorphia; Dasyuridae
Description: lncRNA (ENSSHAG00000025477.1)
Source: RNAcentral